CACGCAGGCGGUUCCGUUAGUCGGACGUGAAAGCUCCUGGCUUAACUGGGAGAGGCCGUUCGAUACUGCGGGACUUGAGGUUGGAAGAGGGGUGUGGAAUUCCCGGUGUAGUGGUGGAAUGCGUAGAUAUCGGGAGGAACACCUGUGGCGAAAGCGGCACCCUGGUCCACACCUGACGUUGAGGUGCGAAAGCGUGGGUAGCAAACA
This 207-nucleotide ribosomal RNA is filed under the name uncultured bacterium. Its description in RNAcentral is "partial 16S ribosomal RNA". It matches the Rfam family "Bacterial small subunit ribosomal RNA", at positions 568 to 774 of the family's 1533-position model. The record is from RNAcentral.